CAGGGGGUUGCAGAUGGCCACGUAGCGGUCGUAGGGCAUUGUGGCCAAGAGGAAUCAUUCUGUAGUGGCAAAAGCACCGGAGAAGUACAGCUGAGCAAAACAGCCUGAAAAGGAGAUGGUUUUUUUCUUCACCAAUACAUUUUGCAGCAUCUUGGGCCCAAUAGAAGAUGAGUAACACAGAUCAAUGAAUGCCAGGGUGAUGAGAUAAAUGACAAGGAACACCACAAAGAGGGGGAGCUGCAGCUCAGGACGGUCUGUGAAUCCCAUGAGGACAAAUUCGGUCACUGUGGUACGAUUGCCUUUUGUCAUGUUCUCUCGCCUGCUGCAAAAAAU
Molecule: long non-coding RNA, 333 nt
Filed under: Homo sapiens (human)
Lineage: Eukaryota; Metazoa; Chordata; Mammalia; Primates; Hominidae
Description: HSALNT0171683
Source: RNAcentral